This 253-nucleotide ribosomal RNA is filed under the name uncultured bacterium. RNAcentral describes it as "partial 16S ribosomal RNA". It matches the Rfam family "Bacterial small subunit ribosomal RNA", at positions 524 to 776 of the family's 1533-position model. The record is from RNAcentral.
UACAGAGGGGGCAAGCGUUGUUCGGAAUUACUGGGCAUAAAGGGCGCGUAGGCGGCCUGUUAAGUCGAACGUGAAAUCCCCGGGCUCAACCCGGGAACUGCGUCCGAUACUGGCAGGCUUGAAUCCGGGAGAGGGAUGCGGAAUUCCAGGUGUAGCGGUGAAAUGCGUAGAUAUCUGGAGGAACACCGGUGGCGAAGGCGGCAUCCUGGACCGGCAUUGACGCUGAGGCGCGAAAGCCAGGGGAGCAAACGGG